AGUGAACGCUGGCGGUAGGCCUAACACAUGCAAGUCGAACGGCAGCACAGUAAGAGCUUGCUCUUACGGGUGGCGAGUGGCGGACGGGUGAGGAAUACAUCGGAAUCUACUUUUUCGUGGGGGAUAACGCAGGGAAACUUACGCUAAUACCGCAUACGACCUACGGGUGAAAGCAGGGGAUCUUCGGACCUUGCGCGAUUGAAUGAGCCGAUGUCGGAUUAGCUAGUUGGCGGGGUAAAGGCCCACCAGGGCGACGAUCCGUAGCUGGUCUGAGAGGAUGAUCAGCCACACUGGAACUGAGACACGGUCCAGACUCCUACGGGAGGCAGCAGUGGGGAAUAUUGGACAAUGGGCGCAAGCCUGAUCCAGCCAUACCGCGUGGGUGAAGAAGGCCUUCGGGUUGUAAAGCCCUUUUGUUGGGAAAGAAAAGCAGCAGGUUAAUACCCCGCUGUUCUGACGGUACCCAAAGAAUAAGCACCGGCUAACUUCGUG
Molecule: ribosomal RNA, 492 nt
Filed under: uncultured bacterium
Lineage: Bacteria
Description: partial 16S ribosomal RNA
Rfam family: Bacterial small subunit ribosomal RNA
Source: RNAcentral